This 381-nucleotide ribosomal RNA is filed under the name uncultured bacterium. Its description in RNAcentral is "bacterial SSU rRNA". It matches the Rfam family "Bacterial small subunit ribosomal RNA", at positions 339 to 734 of the family's 1533-position model. The record is from RNAcentral.
CUACGGGAGGCAGCAGUGGGGAAUUUUCCGCAAUGGGCGAAAGCCUGACGGAGCAAUACCGCGUGAGGGACGACGGCUUUUGGGUUGUAAACCUCUUUUCCCUGGGAAGAAGAUCUGACGNGUACCAGGGGAAUCAGCAUCGGCUAACUUCGUGCCAGCAGCCGCGGUAAUACGAGGGAUGCAAGCGUUAUCCGGAAUUAUUGGGCGUAAAGCGUCCGCAGGUGGCUCUGUAAGUCUGUCGUUAAAGAAUGGGGCUCAACCCCAUACAGGCGAUGGAAACUACAAGGCUAGAGUUUGGUAGGGGUCACGGGAAUUCUUAGUGUAGCGGUGAAAUGCGUAGAUAUUAAGAAGAACACCAGCGGCGAAAGCGCGUGACUGGGC